RNAcentral lists this ribosomal RNA (471 nucleotides) under Triticum aestivum (bread wheat). RNAcentral's name for it is "partial small subunit ribosomal RNA". The record is from RNAcentral. Lineage: Eukaryota; Viridiplantae; Streptophyta; Magnoliopsida; Poales; Poaceae.
AAUGCUAAGUCUUAUGGUCGUGCUCAUGCCAACCACGUUGAUCUCAACGAAGCUCAAGACCAGCCUGCUACUGUGAUGGGUACACUCCUCGUAAAUUCAGUACCAGCAUCCGUUUUAUUUGAUACAUGUGCAUCGCAUUCAUUCAUGUCAGAAGAUUUUGCAUACAAGCACGACGUUAAAUGUGAGGAGAUGAACACCUCUAUAUUGGUCAAAACCCCCGUGGGACAGUGUCAAACCUCCUUGGUUGGCAUCGAUGUCCCCGUGGAAAUCGAAGGGCUGGAAUUCUAUGCCUCUCCCAUUAUCCUGAAGUCGUCUAACAUCGACCUCAUUUUGGGUAUGGAUUGGUUGAAAGCGCAUACUGCUUCUAUAGUUUGCGCCACUAAGACCGUCCAUCUGCUACACCCUUCAGAUGAAAUAGUUGCUUACCAAGCUCAUCUGGUGCAAAAUGCCGAGGCAAGGCUCUAUGCAUUG